This 77-nucleotide transfer RNA is filed under the name Promethearchaeota archaeon. Its description in RNAcentral is "Candidatus Lokiarchaeota archaeon (microbial mat metagenome) tRNA-Ala". It matches the Rfam family "tRNA". Rfam says of the family: Transfer RNA (tRNA) molecules are approximately 80 nucleotides in length. Their secondary structure includes four short double-helical elements and three loops (D, anti-codon, and T loops). Further hydrogen bonds mediate the characteristic L-shaped molecular structure. tRNAs have two regions of fundamental functional importance: the anti-codon, which is responsible for specific mRNA codon recognition, and the 3' end, to which the tRNAs corresponding amino acid is attached (by aminoacyl-tRNA synthetases). tRNAs cope with the degeneracy of the genetic code in two manners: having more than one tRNA (with a specific anti-codon) for a particular amino acid; and 'wobble' base-pairing, i.e. permitting non-standard base-pairing at the 3rd anti-codon position. Lineage: Archaea; Promethearchaeati; Promethearchaeota. The record is from RNAcentral.
GGGGCUGUAGCUCACCUGGCUAGAGCGCCGCGUUUGCACCGCGGAGGCAGGGGGUUCGACUCCCCCCAGCUCCACCA